AUGAAGAGCCAGAAAUUUCUGAAAAUUCGCGUUAAAACAUCACAGGGAAGAGCUGCUGACAAUGAAAACUCAGACCUCAUCUCUAGUUCUAAAGAAAAAGAAGUUGAAUCUGAAUCGCGGAGACGCAGAGCCCCAAAGCGGAAAUCUCGAAGCUUAUCUAAAUCAAACAGUUUGGAAGAACAGAAUCAUGUUAAUGAGUCAGAAAUACUGAAAGUAGUCACGGCUGAGGCAAAUGAAGAGCUUGAGCAAACUGGAAAUGUUGAAUGUAAUUCAAAGUUGGAUACCAGUGAUUCAGAAAAUCAGGGAAUUGCAAAUAAAGAACCUGCAGUUUCUAAAGAGCCACGUAAAAUAUUAAAAAAUAAGAAUGCUCCAACUGUAGACUCAGGCUCAAACUCAACACCAAAGCAGGGUAAAAUCAGAUCAAGAUUAGGUAAACGCAAAGCUCUGAAGCAAAAUUCUGGCAGUCCAUCCAACGCAAAGAAUAUCGAAGGAGCCAAUCAGAUGAGCGACAGUUCAAAAGCCCUUACAGAAGCUGUUAUUUUAGCAAAUGAAGAGCCAGUGCACAACGAAGAUCCUGAAGAGAACUGCGGUGAAGAUACUCAAAACAUGCAAGAUAUCCAACCAGGUCCCAGCCAGCUGCCUGAAGAGUCUAGUAAAGCAACCCAGAAGGGAGCCAAGUCAGGAAAGCGCAAGCCUAACAGUAAGAAAAGUCCCAAUCCGAAACGCAAGAAGAAGCUCAAAAAAUGUAAAAAUUAUGAUUUCCUAGCUGAACUUUUGGAAUUUGAAGAUAUCCCAUUAAGUGUGAAACUCAUUUUGCAAAAGGAUGAUGCUCUGGAAGUUCUGAGUGGAGAAGAAAUCGACACUAUUUUUGAGAAUCUCUCAGAAACCGUCAAAGCUGCAGCCGAGCUCAUCUUCGAGAACCUGAAAAAUGAAGUUGCUCUGAAAUGGUUGAAAGCAGUUUCUCAGUUAGGUGUGUGCAUUAUUGAGAAUCUACCAGCUGAUGAGCCAAUCAAAGAGUCUAUCUCUCAUGUAGCGACUUUGCUUGGACUUCUUCUGAAGUUGGAUUUGGAUUCAGAUGUAAGUAAUCACAGUUUUAAGAUUUCUUUUUUAGUUUUUUUGGGCGGGUCUAAAUUUGUCGGUGAUUUUACCACACAGAAACAGUAUGAUACUUACCUUCAUUUAAAAAGUACAAAUUUUCGAAAGGUGGUGUGGAAGUUAGGACAAUUUACGAAAUUUCUGUGAGAGUAUACAUACAUACUGACGUAUGGUAUUUUCACAAUGAACUGCUGGAAUGUAUAAUUUCUCUACAUGGUUCAUUUUAUUACGUUCCUAGAAAAUCUCAACUCAAUUGAUCACUUGCGCAAGUGAGAGGACCUCAGUAUGGACUUUCCAAAUGGGAAGCCAGCUUGUGUUAGUAUAAUAGUAGCGCAUUUUCUACCAAAUUGAGAUAAAAUUGCGUGCAUUUUGUUCGUGGUGUCUGCAGUGAAAAUCAGACAAUUUCCAGGUAAAUUUUUGGAACUUCUUGGCUUUGUUUUCCCCGCGAACUGGUGUGGACCCAGCACCAUUUCUCUACCUUGUUACAUACAGUUCGGGCCACUUCUUAGUGUUUUUUUUUUUCAUUUGCAGGUAAACUGUAAUACUUAAAAAGUCAUUAUGGUGCACUUAUUGAGAAAAAAGGUUUUUUAAAUAAGGAGGCUAAGGACUUUCUGUAUUC
Molecule: long non-coding RNA, 1714 nt
Filed under: Bemisia tabaci
Lineage: Eukaryota; Metazoa; Arthropoda; Insecta; Hemiptera; Aleyrodidae
Description: lncRNA ENSSSA2NGG013224
Source: RNAcentral